Long non-coding RNA from Pan troglodytes (chimpanzee), 1945 nucleotides. Lineage: Eukaryota; Metazoa; Chordata; Mammalia; Primates; Hominidae. The record is from Ensembl.
AUGUGCCAGCCCCGUGUUUUUAGCACGGGAGUCUGCCUGACGGAUUCCUUCAGUGCACCCAACGUGCUGACAAUUACUCUGUGUUUCCUAGAGCGUGACGAAGGCUCCUUGGGCAAGCCAUUGUGUCCACCCGAGAUACUCUCGGAGACGUUGCCAGGCUCUGUGAAGAAAGGUGUACGCUUUCUAUCAGAAGAUCAUCUAGAGGAGUUUAUAGCAGGACAUCUCCCUGAAGCAUCCAAUCAGAGUUUCCUCACUGUUGCCCAUGCAGACACGGGCACCCAAACCAACGGUACGUAUUCUGGGAUCACCUUUUUGCUAAGGAAAAAUCUUAGUGUUGAGAAAGGUGACACGUUCUUGCCUGCUUUUUCUGGAGAACCACUCUCAUUGGAGCUUCCUAUUGGAAAAUGAGGUUUGGGAAGAAAUUUCUAAGAGUGUACUGACGAGUGGUGACCAUCCUACGUAGUCUCUGUUAGCUGCCGUGUCAUUCUAUGAAAUCGAAUGAGGUGCAUCAAGGUGGGGGGUGGGUAUAAGAAGAGAGUCUAUGUAUAGUGAUUAUGAAUGUCUUUGGGAGGAUGUGUACAUUUCUCCAGAUAGCAUGCUUCCGUGUGCACAGCUCAACACAAAGAUGAGUGUUGUAAAUAAAAAUUCCAUUACCACUGCACACCUUAACGUCAAUCUGCCCAUUUAUCCUCCACCACAGCUGUAGCUGAAGGCCAGUUUAAUAUCCCCAGUACGCAGUCGGAGAUAGUGCAGAGAUGAAUUUGCCAAGCGCUUUAUCUCCUCAGUGCAAGAGGCAGAGGUGAACUCAGGAGUGGGUGGAAGGUUGAUGCCAUGGGCUACUACUCUGAAGUAAUCACAUGGUUCAGAUAUAAUUUGUUGUUAUGCCAGAGAGUUUUAGCACCUACGUGUGCAUAUGGAAGUUGCAUGGCCUUCAGAAAUCCCAAACACUGUCUCUCAUGUAGGAUUGUCUCAAUGGUCACAUAACUCAGUGUAGGAAUAAGUACAUUUUACAGUGGACUUUGGUGUGGUGACAAAUGGGAAACAGACAUUGCGAGGUCAGGCUUUUGGCUGCAGUGCUGUGUUAUUUUCUCAUCUCCUGAUCCAAAGCAGAAAAUAAUCAGGCAUGUUAUAUUGUAUUUAAUGGCAUAAACUCCACAAGCCUUACAUAUGCUGCAGUUCAGCACACGCACCCAAGACACAGCACCAAAUAAGAACCGAAGGAAAAACUUGGGUGUUAUCCUGGUGCUCAUCUUCUCUGCUGGACUCUUCUACACAGCUGGGUUGGAGAGGUUCAGCACCCCCACCUGCUGCCCCCAUGAUGGGCUGUCCUAGUGCUGGAGCCAGUGUGAGCAUGAGCAGCAGCAGGUCCCAUGGCACACACACACUGUGUUAAAAGGAAGAGCAGAAGGACAAACAUCACGGGCCAAGUAGCGGUCAUCUUUAAAUGGUAGGAUAAUUGAGUAUUUUCAAAUCUUGGUUUAGUCUUCUUUAAAACAAAAGGCUAGUGAAUACAUAGAAUAUUUUGAUAGAAUUAAUCUCCUCAUUGAAGAAAGGUUGCUUUGUUUCUAGUACAGAAUAUUCUGGUCAGGCGUGGUGGCUCACACCUGUAAUUCCAGCAGUUUGGGGGGCCAAGACGGGUGGAUCACCUGAGGUCAGGAGUUCGAAACCAGGCUGACCAACAUGGAGAAAACCCAUCUCUCCUAAAAAUACAGAAUUAACUGGGCAUGGUGAUGCAUGCCUAUAAUCCCAGCUACUCAGGAGGCUGAGGCUGGAGAAUCACUUGAACCUGGGAGGCAGAGGUGGUGGUGGGUUGAGAUUGCACAAUUAUACUCCAGCCGGGGCAAGAAGAGAGUAACUCCAUCUCAAAAAUAACAAUAAUAAUAAUUCUAGGAGGACAAAUACACACAGCAGGACAUGUGGAUCCUGGCGGAGAAAUGACCUCUAG